RNAcentral lists this ribosomal RNA (253 nucleotides) under uncultured bacterium. RNAcentral describes it as "partial 16S ribosomal RNA". It matches the Rfam family "Bacterial small subunit ribosomal RNA", at positions 524 to 776 of the family's 1533-position model. The record is from RNAcentral.
UACGAAGGGGGCUAGCGUUGCUCGGAAUCACUGGGCGUAAAGCGCACGUAGGCGGCUUUUUAAGUCAGGGGUGAAAUCCUGGAGCUCAACUCCAGAACUGCCUUUGAUACUGGCGAUCUUGAGUCCGGGAGAGGUGAGUGGAACUGCGAGUGUAGAGGUGAAAUUCGUAGAUAUUCGCAAGAACACCAGUGGCGAAGGCGGCUCACUGGCCCGGUACUGACGCUGAGGUGCGAAAGCGUGGGGAGCAAACAGG